UGGGGAAUAUUGCGCAAUGGGGGGAACCCUGACGCAGCCAUGCCGCGUGAAUGAAGAAGGCCUUCGGGUUGUAAAGUUCUUUCGGUAUUGAGGAAGGAGUGUAUGUUAAUAGCAUACAUUAUUGACGUUAAAUACAGAAGAAGCACCGGCUAACUCCGUGCCAGCAGCCGCGGUAAUACGGAGGGUGCGAGCGUUAAUCGGAAUAACUGGGCGUAAAGGGCACGCAGGCGGUUAUUUAAGUGAGGUGUGAAAGCCCCGGGCUUAACCUGGGAAUUGCAUUUCAGACUGGGUAACUAGAGUACUUUAGGGAGGGGUAGAAUUCCACGUGUAGCGGUGAAAUGCGUAGAGAUGUGGAGGAAUACCGAAGGCGAAGGCAGCCCCUUGGGAAUGUACUGACGCUCAUGUGCGAAAGCGUGGGGAGCAAACAGGAUUAGAUACCCUGGUAGUCCACGCUGUAAACGCUGUCGAUUUGGGGAUUGGGCUUAAAGCUUGGUGCCCGUAGCUNACGUGAUAAAUCGACCGCCUGGGGAGUACGGCCGCAAGGUU
RNAcentral lists this ribosomal RNA (546 nucleotides) under uncultured bacterium. RNAcentral describes it as "bacterial SSU rRNA". It matches the Rfam family "Bacterial small subunit ribosomal RNA", at positions 355 to 895 of the family's 1533-position model. The record is from RNAcentral.